RNAcentral lists this ribosomal RNA (253 nucleotides) under uncultured bacterium. Its description in RNAcentral is "partial 16S ribosomal RNA". It matches the Rfam family "Bacterial small subunit ribosomal RNA", at positions 524 to 776 of the family's 1533-position model. The record is from RNAcentral.
GACGGAGGGUGCAAGCGUUAUCCGGAAUGAUUGGGCGUAAAGCGUCCGCAGGUGGCAGUUCAAGUCUGCUGUCAAAGACCGGGGCUUAACUUCGGAAAGGCAGUGGAAACUGAACAGCUAGAGUAUGGUAGGGGCAGAGGGAAUUCCUGGUGUAGCGGUGAAAUGCGUAGAGAUCAGGAAGAACAUCGGUGGCGAAGGCGCUCUGCUGGACCAUAACUGACACUCAGGGACGAAAGCUAGGGGAGCGAAUGGG